This 504-nucleotide ribosomal RNA is filed under the name Triticum aestivum (bread wheat). Its description in RNAcentral is "partial small subunit ribosomal RNA". Lineage: Eukaryota; Viridiplantae; Streptophyta; Magnoliopsida; Poales; Poaceae. The record is from RNAcentral.
AUGAAAGCCACAAGGCCAACCCAGUGGCAGGCUCCGACCACUGGAUGUGUGAAAAUAAACGUAGAUGCGGCGGCACCCAGGCAUGCUAGGUUUGGGGCUGUGGGGGCAAUCUGUAGAAGCCCGGAUGGUUUGUUUUUGGGAGCUUCAGCUUUGAUUAUGAGGCACAUCGGGGAUCCGGAGAUGCUAGAAGCCAUAGCGAUCAGAGAAGGUCUUGCACUUGCGGAGGACCUGUACCAAAGGAGCAUUCAUGUUGCAUCUGACUGUAAGCAGGUCGUCGACUCACUGAAGAAGGAGGACGCUUCUCCAUAUGGUGCUAUUGUGCAUGAAAUAUUAAGCCACUCUUCAGUUUUUGAUAUGUGUAAAGUUAGCCAUGAAUUUAAGAGCUCAAAUUAUGAAGCUCACAACUUAGCGAAGCAUGCUCUAUCUCUCGGGGCCGGACGCUGUGUGUGGUUGGGCCAUCCCGGAAACCUUCCCUUCGUCCCUGUAAACAUUGUGACGAAUUAA